GCGGCUGUAGCUCAGACGGAUAGAGCAUUCGCCUCCUAAGCGAAGGGUCGCGUGUUCGACUCACGCCAGUCGCACCA
Molecule: transfer RNA, 77 nt
Filed under: Megamonas hypermegale
Lineage: Bacteria; Bacillati; Bacillota; Negativicutes; Selenomonadales; Selenomonadaceae
Also listed under: 5 other names
Description: tRNA-Arg(cct)
Rfam family: tRNA
About the family: Transfer RNA (tRNA) molecules are approximately 80 nucleotides in length. Their secondary structure includes four short double-helical elements and three loops (D, anti-codon, and T loops).
Source: RNAcentral